AUUGAACGCUGGCGGCAUGCUUUACACAUGCAAGUCGAACGGUAACAGGGCCUUCGGGCGCUGACGAGUGGCGAACGGGUGAGUAAUGCAUCGGAACGUGCCCAGAGUGGGGGAUAACGCAGCGAAAGCUGUGCUAAUACCGCAUAUUAUCUGAGGAUGAAAGCGGGGGGACUAAGCAGCAAUGUUUGGCCUCGCGCCUUUGGAGCGGCCGAUGUCAGAUUAGGUAGUUGGUGGGGUAAAGGCCUACCAAGCCAACGAUCUGUAGCUGGUCUGAGAGGACGACCAGCCACACUGGAACUGAGACACGGUCCAGACUCCUACGGGAGGCAGCAGUGGGGAAUUUUCCGCAAUGGGCGAAAGCCUGACGGAGCAAUACCGCGUGAGGGAAGAAUGCCUAUGGGUUGUAAACCUCUUUUUUCAGGGAGGAAUAAAAUGACGUGUACCUGAAGAAUAAGCAUCGGCUAACUCCGUG
Molecule: ribosomal RNA, 472 nt
Filed under: uncultured bacterium
Lineage: Bacteria
Description: bacterial SSU rRNA
Rfam family: Bacterial small subunit ribosomal RNA
Source: RNAcentral